RNAcentral lists this ribosomal RNA (497 nucleotides) under uncultured bacterium. Its description in RNAcentral is "partial 16S ribosomal RNA". It matches the Rfam family "Bacterial small subunit ribosomal RNA", at positions 28 to 507 of the family's 1533-position model. The record is from RNAcentral.
GACGAACGCUGGCGGCGUGCCUAAUACAUGCAAGUUGAGCGCUGAAGGUUGGUACUUGUCCCGACUGGAUGAGCAGCGAACGGGUGAGUAACGCGUGGGGAAUCUGCCUUUGAGCGGGGGACAACAUUUGGAAACGAAUGCUAAUACCGCAUAAAAACUUUAAACACAAGUUUUAAGUUUGAAAGAUGCAAUUGCAUCACUCAAAGAUGAUCCCGCGUUGUAUUAGCUAGUUGGUGAGGUAAAGGCUCACCAAGGCGAUGAUACAUAGCCGACCUGAGAGGGUGAACGGCCACAUUGGGACUGAGACACGGCCCAAACUCCUACGGGAGGCAGCAGGAGGGAAUCUUCGGAAAUGGACGGCAGUCUGACCGAGCAACGCCGCGUGAGUGAAGAAGGGUUUCGGAUCGUAAAACUCUGUUGGUAGAGAAGAAAGUUGGUGAGAGUGGAAAGCUCAUCAAGUGACGGUAACUAAACAGAAAGGGACGGCUAACUACGUG